Molecule: long non-coding RNA, 745 nt
Filed under: Homo sapiens (human)
Lineage: Eukaryota; Metazoa; Chordata; Mammalia; Primates; Hominidae
Description: non-protein coding lnc-TTC21B-2:2
Source: RNAcentral
UCCUGUCUCUGAGCUUCCUUCUCCAGGUUUGCUCCUUUCCAUCAGGUAUCACUUUAUCACCACCUCCUCAAAGAGGCCGUGUUCAUGUCCAGGCCCACAAUCUCAAGUAGCCAUCCUGUGAUUCUGUAUCAUAUUAUCCUUUUUAAACUCUAUGCAGCAUUUACUACCUCUGAUGUUUUUUCUUCUUUAAGGAUUUGAUUGCCUUAUGUGACAAGCCCAAGAUCUGUGACAGUUGGAGCUCAAACUAGGCAGUCUUGAUUCCAGACUGCUCUGAACUAGUAUUUGAAGGAACUAAUGAACAUGACAUGUUAAAUGAAAGUUUGGGGACGUACACUCAGGAUGGAAGCAGGGGGACACAACAGAAAUGAAAGAAUUUUCUGUAGAUCUGGGAUCUGGACACCUGCCCCCCGUCAUGGGAAGGCAGUAAACAAGAUGCUAACUGAUGGAGUGAAAUCCCCAGGAGAUGCAGAAGGCAAGUGCAGCUAACUGAGGCCUCAGGGGCAGGAGAUGCCCAUCAGGAUGAGAGCUAUGUCUUUCUCCAGUGAUGACUCUGCUUCUAUGAGGUCACCAGCAGUAGAACCAUAUCUUGCUGGCAUACACUUGGGAUGGCCCCGCCUCCUGGACUUCCAUCUGUCAUCAGGAGAACAUAACCAUCUGGAGUCAGUACAGAUCAUCAAUCCUUCCACAUAUACAAGUUCAUUUUAAAUUUUUAAAAAUAUAAUACAACUGAGAAGUCUUCAUUAAA